UGACAACUACCAUGAAAAAAACUGUUCACAAAUUGAGGUAUGAAAUACUUCCUCAUUUGAAUGACCAUAAUUAGAAUAAGCCCAAAACAUAGAUAUUCAUCCCUCACACCAUAUCUAAAUUCAAUUCGUCUCUUUGAAGUUGCAAUAUAAAGCACAUUCAUAACCGAAUUAAGUCCAUAUUCUAAGAUUGACCUGAACAUGCAUUAUCACAAAUAGCCUAUCUCCAAGAAACAAUAAUUUUCAUCAAUGAAAAGGAAUAAAGAUUACUAAGAAAACUAUAAAUUCAAAUUGGAUUCUGGAAAUCGCACGAAAA
RNAcentral lists this unclassified non-coding RNA (313 nucleotides) under Hevea brasiliensis (rubber tree). The record is from RNAcentral. Lineage: Eukaryota; Viridiplantae; Streptophyta; Magnoliopsida; Malpighiales; Euphorbiaceae.